RNAcentral lists this ribosomal RNA (230 nucleotides) under uncultured bacterium. RNAcentral describes it as "partial 16S ribosomal RNA". It matches the Rfam family "Bacterial small subunit ribosomal RNA", at positions 562 to 791 of the family's 1533-position model. The record is from RNAcentral.
AAAGCGUGCGCAGGCGGCUUUGCAAGACAGAUGUGAAAUCCCCGGGCUCAACCUGGGAACUGCAUUUGUGACUGCAAGGCUAGAGUACGGUAGAGGGGGAUGGAAUUCCGCGUGUAGCAGUGAAAUGCGUAGAUAUGCGGAGGAACACCAAUGGCGAAGGCAAUCCCCUGGACCUGUACUGACGCUCAUGCACGAAAGCGUGGGGAGCAAACAGGAUUAGAUACCCGAGU